GAUGAACGCUGGCGGCGUGCCUAAUACAUGCAAGUCGAGCGAACGGACGAGAAGCUUGCUUCUCUGAUGUUAGCGGCGGACGGGUGAGUAACACGUGGAUAACCUACCUAUAAGACUGGGAUAACUUCGGGAAACCGGAGCUAAUACCGGAUAAUAUUUUGAACCGCAUGGUUCAAAAGUGAAAGACGGCCUUGCUGUCACUUAUAGAUGGAUCCGCGCUGCAUUAGCUAGUUGGUAAGGUAACGGCUUACCAAGGCAACGAUGCAUAGCCGACCUGAGAGGGUGAUCGGCCACACUGGAACUGAGACACGGUCCAGACUCCUACGGGAGGCAGCAGUAGGGAAUCUUCCGCAAUGGGCGAAAGCCUGACGGAGCAACGCCGCGUGAGUGAUGAAGGUCUUCGGAUCGUAAAACUCUGUUAUUAGGGAAGAACAUAUAUGUAAGUAACUGUGCACAUCGUGACGGUACCUAAUCAGAAAGCCACGGCUAACUACGUG
RNAcentral lists this ribosomal RNA (497 nucleotides) under uncultured bacterium. Its description in RNAcentral is "partial 16S ribosomal RNA". It matches the Rfam family "Bacterial small subunit ribosomal RNA", at positions 28 to 507 of the family's 1533-position model. The record is from RNAcentral.